UCGUAUCUCUGACGGGGCGGGUCGACCCUGCUCGGGCCUCUCCAAAGGGCCUUUGCAGCGGGUCCCCCGUCGUGCUCAACCUUCACAAACCCUGUGCACCUUCUCGGCGGAGGGUGGUGGCGAGAGCCCCGCCCGAAACCGUUCACAAACACUUAAUAAAAAAGAAUGACCAGUGGCCUAUGCGCCGCCUAAAAACAUAA
This 200-nucleotide unclassified non-coding RNA is filed under the name uncultured fungus. RNAcentral describes it as "sequence contains ITS1, 5.8S rRNA gene". Lineage: Eukaryota; Fungi. The record is from RNAcentral.